UAAGGAAUAUUGGUCAAUGGAGGCAACUCUGAACCAGCCAUGCCGCGUGAAGGAUUAAGGCCCUCUGGGUUGUAAACUUCUUUUAUAUGGGAAGAAAUGUUCUGAUUCUUCAGAGCUUGACGGUACCAUAGGAAUAAGCACCGGCUAACUCCGUGCCAGCAGCCGCGGUAAUACGGAGGGUGCAAGAGUUAUCCGGAUUCACUGGGUUUAAAGGCUGCGUAGGUUGGCAGAUAAGUCAGUGGUGAAAUCUUCCGGCUUAACCGGAAAAUUGCCGUUGAUACUAUUUGUCUUGAAUAUUGUGGAGGUAAGCGGAAUAUGUCAUUUAGCGGUGAAAUGCUUAGAUAUGACAUAGAACACCAAUUGCGAAGGCAGCUUACUAUAUAAUUAUUGACACUGAGGCACGAAAGCGUGGGUAGC
RNAcentral lists this ribosomal RNA (417 nucleotides) under uncultured bacterium. RNAcentral's name for it is "bacterial SSU rRNA". It matches the Rfam family "Bacterial small subunit ribosomal RNA", at positions 355 to 769 of the family's 1533-position model. The record is from RNAcentral.